RNAcentral lists this transfer RNA (72 nucleotides) under Pristionchus pacificus. RNAcentral's name for it is "tRNA-Glu (CTC) (tRNA-Glu-CTC-2-1)". It matches the Rfam family "tRNA". From Rfam's summary of the family: Transfer RNA (tRNA) molecules are approximately 80 nucleotides in length. Lineage: Eukaryota; Metazoa; Nematoda; Chromadorea; Rhabditida; Neodiplogasteridae. The record is from Rfam by way of RNAcentral.
UCCGAUGUAGUCUAGUGGUUAUGAUUUGCGGCUCUCACCCGCAAGGCCCGGGUUCGAGUCCCGGCAUCGGAA